AGAGUUUGAUCCUGGCUCAGGACGAACGCUGGCGGCGUGCUAAUGCAUGCAAGUCGCACGCAGGGUGCUUGCACCCCUGAGUGGCGCACGGCUGAGGAACACGUGGGAAUCUGCCCGACCGUGGGGGAUAACUCGGCGAAAGCCGCGCUAAUCCCGCAUACGCUCGCAAGAGGAAAGCAGUGAUGCGCGGUCGGAGGAGCCUGCGGCCCAUCAGGUAGUUGGCGGGGUAACGGCCCACCAAGCCGCUGACGGGUAGCUGGUCUGUGAGGACAGACARCCAGACUGGGACUGAGACACGGCCCAGACUCCUACGGGAGGCAGCAGCAAGGAAUUUUCGUCAAUGGGCGCAAGCCUGAACGAKCAACGCCGCGUGGAGGACGACGGCCUUCGGGUUGUAAACUCCUUUUGCGGGGGACGACAUCGACUGUACCCCGCGAAUAAGGSUCGGCUAACUCUGUGCCAGCAGCCGCGGUAAGACAGAGAGCCAAGCGUUGUCCGGAUUGACUGGGCGUAAAGCGCACGCAGGCGGUCGUGCACGUGGGGUGUGAAACUGGCGGGCUUAACUUGCAGAGGCCACCUCAUACGGCCCGACUUGAGCCAUGCAGAGGUCCACGGAAUUGCCGGUGUAGUGGUGAAAUGCGUAGAGAUCGGCAGGAACACCCCAGGGGGAAACCAGUGGCCUGGGCAUGUACUGACGCUCAGGUGCGAAAGCGUGGGGAGCGAACCGGAUUAGAUACCCGGGUAGUCCACCGCGUAAACGAUGAAUACUCGGCA
Molecule: ribosomal RNA, 774 nt
Filed under: uncultured bacterium
Lineage: Bacteria
Description: bacterial SSU rRNA
Rfam family: Bacterial small subunit ribosomal RNA
Source: RNAcentral